CCCUUAGAUGUCCGGGGCCGCACGCGCGCUACACUGAAGGAAUCAGCGUGGCUUUCUCCCUGACCCGAAAGGGUUGGGAAACCCGUUGAAUCUCCUUCGUGAUAGGGAUUGGGCUUGAAAUUGUUCCCCAUGAACGAGGAAUUCCCAGUAAGCGCGAGUCAUAAGCUCGCGUUGAUUACGUCCCUGCCCUUUGUACACACCGCCCGUCGCUACUACCGAUUGAACGGUUUAGUGAGGGCCUCGGAUUGGUCUCGGCCCGCUCUUUACCGGGCGGCGCCGUUGGUCGAGAAGACGCUCGAACUUGAUCGUUUAGAGGAAGUAAAAGUCGUAACA
RNAcentral lists this ribosomal RNA (333 nucleotides) under uncultured eukaryote. RNAcentral describes it as "partial 18S ribosomal RNA". It matches the Rfam family "Eukaryotic small subunit ribosomal RNA", at positions 1470 to 1796 of the family's 1831-position model. The record is from RNAcentral.